This 749-nucleotide ribosomal RNA is filed under the name uncultured Capnocytophaga sp. RNAcentral's name for it is "bacterial SSU rRNA". It matches the Rfam family "Bacterial small subunit ribosomal RNA", at positions 28 to 776 of the family's 1533-position model. Lineage: Bacteria; Pseudomonadati; Bacteroidota; Flavobacteriia; Flavobacteriales; Flavobacteriaceae. The record is from RNAcentral.
GAUGAACGCUAGCGGCAGGCCUAACACAUGCAAGUCGAGGGAGAGGUUAUCUUCGGGUAACCAAAACCGGCGCACGGGUGCGUAACGCGUAUACAAUCUGCCUUUCACAUAGGGAUAGCCCGAAGAAAUUUGGAUUAAUACCUAAUGGUAUAUAAGAGCGGCAUCGUUUUUAUAUUAAAGCUACGGUGGUGAAAGAUGAGUAUGCGUUCUAUUAGCUAGUUGGAGAGGUAACGGCUCCCCAAGGCGACGAUAGAUAGGGGUUCUGAGAGGGAUGUCCCCCACACUGGUACUGAGAUACGGACCAGACUCCUACGGGAGGCAGCAGUGAGGAAUAUUGGACAAUGGUCGGAAGACUGAUCCAGCCAUGCCGCGUGCAGGAUGAAGGUCCUAUGGAUUGUAAACUGCUUUUGUAAGGGAAGAAUAAGGGGUACGUGUACUUUGAUGACGGUACCUUACGAAUAAGCAUCGGCUAACUCCGUGCCAGCAGCCGCGGUAAUACGGAGGAGGCGAGCGUUAUCCGGAAUCAUUGGGUUUAAAGGGUCCGUAGGCGGGCUGAUAAGUCAGAGGUGAAAGCGCUUAGCUCAACUAAGCAACUGCCUUUGAAACUGUCAGUCUUGAAUGAUUGUGAAGUAGUUGGAAUGUGUAGUGUAGCGGUGAAAUGCUUAGAUAUUACACAGAACACCGAUAGCGAAGGCAUAUUACUAACAAUUUAUUGACGCUGAUGGACGAAAGCGUGGGGAGCGAACAGG